Molecule: ribosomal RNA, 2131 nt
Filed under: marine metagenome
Description: bacterial LSU rRNA
Rfam family: Bacterial large subunit ribosomal RNA
Source: RNAcentral
UCAAGCGUGAGGUAAGAGCAUUUGGUGAAUGCCUUGGCAUAUACAGGCGAUGAAGGACGUGGCACGCUGCGAUAAGCGUGGGGGAGCCGUGAGCAGGCUUUGAUCCCACGAUUUCCGAAUGGGGAAACCCAUCCUCACUAUUUAAUUUCGCUGCUGAGCAAUCAGUGUCGGAGUUAAAUAGGAAGGAUAUCACUUAGCUGAAUAAAAUAGGCUUAGUGAAGCGAACCCGGAGAACUGAAACAUCUCAGUACCCGGAGGAAAAGACAUCAACCGAGAUUCCGUUAGUAGUGGCGAGCGAACGCGGACCAGGCCAGUGCCUGGAAGUGAGUUAGCAGAACAGUUUGGAAAGACUGGCCAUAGCGGGUGACAGCCCCGUAUGCGAAAGCAAGCUUUCAGGACUCGAGUAGGGCGGGACACGUGAAAUCCUGUCUGAACAUGGGGGGACCACCCUCCAAGCCUAAAUACUCGUGCAUGACCGAUAGCGAACUAGUACCGUGAGGGAAAGGUGAAAAGCACCCCGAUGAGGGGAGUGAAACAGUACCUGAAACCGAAUGCUUACAAUCAGUUGGAGCCUCUUUAUGGGGUGACAGCGUACCUCUUGUAUAAUGGGUCUGUGACUUAAUGUAUCAUGCAAGCUUAAGCCGUUAGGUGUAGGCGUAGCGAAAGCGAGUCUGAAUAGGGCGACUGAGUAUGAUGCAUUAGACCCGAAACCCGGCGAUCUAGGCAUGACCAGGUUGAAGGUGCGGUAACACGCACUGGAGGACCGAACCGUUUAAUGUUGAAAAAUUAUCGGAUGAGUUGUGUUUAGGGGUGAAAGGCCAAUCAAGCCGGGAAAUAGCUGGUUCUCCGCGAAAUCUAUUGAGGUAGAGCGUCAGAUGUAUUCCGAUGGGGGUAGAGCACUGGAUGGGCUAGGGCUGCGCGAGCGGUACCAAACCUAACCAAACUCCGAAUACCAUCGAGUCUUGUCUGGCAGACAGACGGCGGGUGCUAAGGUCCGUCGUCAAAAGGGAAACAGCCCUAACCUACAGCUAAGGUCCCCAAGUCAUCACUAAGUGGGAAAGCAUGUGGGAUUUCCAAAACAACCAGGAGGUUGGCUUAGAAGCAGCCAUCCUUUAAAGAAAGCGUAACAGCUCACUGGUCUAAAUAAGAGAUCCUGCGGCGAAAAUGUAACGGGGCUAAAGAUAUGUACCGAAGCUUAGGGUGUGCAAUUUAUUGCAUGCGGUAGCGGAGCGUUCCGUAGGCCGAUGAAGCGAUCUGGUAAUGGGUCGUGGAGGUAUCGGAAGUGCGAAUGCAGACAUGAGUAGCGAUAGGAGGGUGAGACACCCUCCCGCCGAAAGACCAAGGGUUCCUGCUUAAAGCUAAUCUGAGCAGGGUAAGCCGGCCCCUAAGACGAGCCCGAAGGGGGUAGUCGAUGGGAACCACGUUAAUAUUCGUGGGCCUGGUGGUGUGUGACGGAUCUCGUGAGUUGUCAGUCCUUAUUGGAUUGGACUGGCUUCGAAGAGGUUCCAGGAAAUAGCCCCACCGUAUAGACCGUACCCGAAACCGACACAGGUGGUCAGGUAGAGUAUACCAAGGCGCUUGAGAGAAGUAUCCUGAAGGAACUCGGCAAAUUGCCUCCGUACCUUCGGAAGAAGGAGGCCCUCACAUUGCGCAAGCAGUAUGAGGGGGCACAGGCCAGGGGGUAGCGACUGUUUAGCAAAAACACAGGACUCUGCUAAGUCGGCUUCAAGACGACGUAUAGGGUCUGACGCCUGCCCGGUGCUGGAAGGUUAAGAGGAGGAGUGCAAGCUCCGAAUUGAAGCCCCAGUAAACGGCGGCCGUAACUAUAACGGUCCUAAGGUAGCGAAAUUCCUUGUCGGGUAAGUUCCGACCUGCACGAAUGGCGUAACGACUUCCCCACUGUCUCCAGGAUAUGCUCAGCGAAAUUGAAUUCUCCGUGAAGAUGCGGAGUACCCGCGGUUAGACGGAAAGACCCCGUGCACCUUUACUGCAGCUUCAGAGUGGCAUUAGGAAAGAACUGUGUAGAAUAGGUGGGAGGCUUUGAAACUUGGGCGCCAGUUCGAGUGGAGCCGUAAUGUGAAAUACCACCCUGUUGUUUUCUGAUGUCUAACCCAGGACCGUUAUCCGGUUC